This 693-nucleotide long non-coding RNA is filed under the name Equus caballus (horse). RNAcentral describes it as "lncRNA (ENSECAG00000041054.2)". Lineage: Eukaryota; Metazoa; Chordata; Mammalia; Perissodactyla; Equidae. The record is from RNAcentral.
CAAGGCAGAUUCGAGACAGGACAGAAAAAAUGUUUGUCCGUGCUACCCUCUUCCUUCAAAGAUGAGAAAUACCUCUAAAUAGUAUGAACAACAGGAAAGCUACCAGCCCCCCGGUACAUAGUUGUGUAUUCUUAGUUGUGGGUCCUUCUAGUUGUGGCAUGUGGGACGCCGCCUCAGCGUGGUUUGAUGAGCAGUGCCAUGUCCGCACCCAGGAUUCGAACCGACGAAACACUGGGCCGCCUGCAGAGGAGCGCGCGAACUUAACCACUCGGCCACGGGGCCAGCCCCUUCAGAGGCAUAGGGAGAGUUGAAUUGCUCCUGCUUCUCGCCCAAUGUGUUUGCCAUCUGGACUGCCACUAACAGCUAGAAAUGCCCCCUUCCUCCCAAAGAAAAAAUAAAAGGUAAAUGCUUUUGAACACCACCUUAUGGCUGUUUAAACAUCAGUUUCUGACUAUACACAGUAGCUCCCUCCACCCCUCCCCCUCACUCCCUUCACUUCCCUCCCUCCAACUAUCCUGACAAGGAGAGAGAAAGAAGGAAGUCGUACAUGUAGCACAUUCCCAUUAUGAUCCCCAGUGUGGUGCCAUUAAAUAGGACCCUGUCUGAGUGGGUCUAAUUGGCCAAUAUAUGGUGCUUUGUAUUGAUGCUUUUUAGUCACUACAGAGCUCGAUAUACUUACAUGUAUAUAAUUCA